Molecule: long non-coding RNA, 571 nt
Filed under: Daucus carota (carrot)
Lineage: Eukaryota; Viridiplantae; Streptophyta; Magnoliopsida; Apiales; Apiaceae
Description: long non-coding RNA (DCAR_LNC006969)
Source: RNAcentral
AAUUUUUAUUUUUAUAAUAAAAAACGCUCCAUAUGGCCAAUUCAAUAAAUAUUUGCCUCAGUCUUAUAUUCAUUAUUCUUGUUUCUAAAUUACCUUUUCGUGAUUGUAAGUAUAUUCAACAUUUUUAUUUUAAAUUAAUGUGCAAAUAUAAUGCUCCAUCUUACACACACACAGAGUUACACACAUAGACAUGUAUGUGUGUAUGUAUGUAUGUAUGUAUGUAUGUCUCUUGUAUAUUGAUUUACCUCUAUAUUUUUAAAUUUCUCACAUAAAGUAUAACUCAAUGUCAUUACAUUUACUAUUGAUGUAUUAUUUUUCAGAUGUUCAAGAAUUAUUUAAAAAAUUAAUGUCGUUCAAUUUAAUGUAUUUGCAGUGUAUUUUAUAUAUUUAUUUUAUUUUAUUUUUUAAUGUACAUAAAUAAUUUUGUUAUAAUAUAUUUUUCUAUAUCUAUGAUAUAGGUGCGGUGAAUGAAGGACUGGGCAUGGUUCAAUACGGUGAAAACAAAAUUUCGAGCAUCAAAGGCCAGGCCAAUGCAGCUUCUAACAACUUAAAAGCUGGAUAUUGUUUGCCA